RNAcentral lists this ribosomal RNA (178 nucleotides) under uncultured bacterium. RNAcentral's name for it is "partial 16S ribosomal RNA". It matches the Rfam family "Bacterial small subunit ribosomal RNA", at positions 332 to 526 of the family's 1533-position model. The record is from RNAcentral.
AUUACUCCUACGGGAGGCAGCAGCGGGGAAUCUUGCGCAAUGGGCGAAAGCCUGACGCAGCAACGCCGCGUGCGGGAAGAAGGCCCUCGGGUUGUAAACCGCUUUCAGAAGGAACGAAACUGACGGUACUUUCAGAAGAGGGUGCGGCCAACUACGUGCCAGCAGCCGCGGUAAUAAU